Molecule: ribosomal RNA, 253 nt
Filed under: uncultured bacterium
Lineage: Bacteria
Description: partial 16S ribosomal RNA
Rfam family: Bacterial small subunit ribosomal RNA
Source: RNAcentral
UACGUAGGGGGCUAGCGUUGUUCGGAAUCACUGGGCGUAAAGCGCACGUAGGCGGAUUGUCAAGUCGGGGGUGAAAUCCUGAGGCUCAACCUCAGAACUGCCUUCGAUACUGGCAAUCUCGAGUCCGGAAGAGGUUGGUGGAACAGCUAGUGUAGAGGUGAAAUUCGUAGAUAUUAGCUAGAACACCAGUGGCGAAGGCGGCCAACUGGUCCGGUACUGACGCUGAGGUGCGAAAGCGUGGGGAGCGAACCGG